RNA transcript from Zea mays, 767 nucleotides. RefSeq lists it as uncharacterized. The record is from RefSeq and is a predicted model, not a curated record. The transcript has 6 exons. Lineage: Eukaryota; Viridiplantae; Streptophyta; Magnoliopsida; Poales; Poaceae.
CGUCUCCUUCGCCUACGCGCUGGAUGUAUUGUUCCUCGAAUCGCCCUCGUUAAGUCCGGGAAGGCCGAGGUGGAUCCCACGGUUGAGCCUCGCCGAUGCGCAGGUCUUAAUUUUGUGCUGGAACAGAAUACCCUUAAGUCCAUAGAGAUAGAGCUAACAGAAGAGAUGGCGCCUAACUUGCUGCAGACCGAUAUGGUUAUGCAGUUUGGUCUGCUAGCACAGAGGCCCUUGAGUUUGUUCAGGAAAAAAUGUCAUCGUUUAUGAAGUUAGGUGAUGGUUCACAGAAGCUCUUGAUUUUGUCAUGGGCUGGUGACCCAUGAUGAAGCUAUUGCUACCGGAAGACUAGAAAUAUAGCAUCCCCUUCUAAGGUGUUGAAUUUUGGAGAUCAGGGCAAAAUUCAGGAAGCCAUGGUUCAAAUGCAUAUAAGAGAAGAAGAGACUGUGAUCUGUAUCUAUGGACAGAACCUUGAUUUCGUGUUGGUGGAAGUUAGUCUUAACAAUAUGGUACCAGAGACUUCGACAAACUAUGAUUUGUUAAAUCACAUACUGAAUGAACUUAGAGUCCCUCUUAUCGCAAUAUGUUCUUAUGACGAUGAAGUUGCGCUUUCUAAAUAUAUGAACCUGGCCACCUGGGUGCAUGCUUCCAUGUGCUGAAGCCAUUGGAUAGAAGAAGCUUCAGCAUUCUGUGGCACCAAGCACUGGAACACAAGUCUAAAAAGGCAGCACCCCAAGGACACUAGGUAUUAAUAAUAGUACCAAAAAAUAGAA